RNAcentral lists this ribosomal RNA (169 nucleotides) under Iniistius evides. RNAcentral's name for it is "partial 12S rRNA". The record is from RNAcentral. Lineage: Eukaryota; Metazoa; Chordata; Actinopteri; Labriformes; Labridae.
CACCGCGGUUAUACGAGGGGCCCAAGUUGACAGCUGCCGGCGUAAAGAGUGGUUAAGAGAAACCCCGUCUAGAGUCGAACUACUUUAAAGCUGUUAUACGCCAAUAAAAACGUGAAGCCCGACUACGAAAGUGACUUUAACAUCUUCUGAUCCCACGAAAGCUAGGGCA